GAUGAACGCCGGCGGCGUGCCUAAUACAUGCGAGUCGAGCGAACGGACGAGAAGCUUGCUUCUCUGAUGUUAGCGGCGGACGGGUGAGUAACACGUGGAUAACCUACCUAUAAGACUGGGAUAACUUCGGGAAACCGGAGCUAAUACCGGAUAAUAUUUUGAACCGCAUGGUUCAAAAGUGAAAGACGGUCUUGCUGUCACUUAUAGAUGGAUCCGCGCUGCAUUAGCUAGUUGGUAAGGUAACGGCUUACCAAGGCAACGAUGCAUAGCCGACCUGAGAGGGUGAUCGGCCACACUGGAACUGAGACACGGUCCAGACUCCUACGGGAGGCAGCAGUAGGGAAUCUUCCGCAAUGGGCGAAAGCCUGACGGAGCAACGCCGCGUGAGUGAUGAAGGUCUUCGGAUCGUAAAACUCUGUUAUUAGGGAAGAACAUAUGUGUAAGUAACUGUGCACAUCUUGACGGUACCUAAUCAGAAAGCCACGGCUAACUACGUG
RNAcentral lists this ribosomal RNA (497 nucleotides) under uncultured bacterium. Its description in RNAcentral is "partial 16S ribosomal RNA". It matches the Rfam family "Bacterial small subunit ribosomal RNA", at positions 28 to 507 of the family's 1533-position model. The record is from RNAcentral.